UGUAUGUUUAUACUACAUUGUGCCCAAAAUGGUAAAUAUCGGCAAUUACCGACCGAAAAGCACUUCAUGUGGAAACCGAAAAGCACUCAAUUUCUCGCUAUAUAUAUGAAUAUUUGCGUUUCUAUUGUGUGUAAACGGAUUAAAUUAGUUAUAAAUGGUUAUAUUUCAUGCAUAUUUAUACUACCUUGGGUUUAUUAUGAGGUAUUAAGCCCCAAAAUUGGAUAAAUAUCGGCAAUAUACCGACCGAAAAGCACUUCAUGUGAAGACCGAAAAGCACUCAAUUUCUCGCUAUAUAUAUGAAUAUUUGCGUUUCUAUUGUGUGUAAACGGUUUAAAUUAGUUAUAAAUGGUUAUAUUUCAUGCAUAUUUAUACUACCUUGUGUUUAUUAUGAGGUAUAAAUGCCCGAAAUUUUAUAAAUAUCGGCAAUAUACCGACCGAAAAGCACUUCAUGUGAAGACCGAAUAGCACUCAAUUUCUCGCUAUAUAUAUAUAAUAUUUGCGUUCCUAUUGUGUGUAAACGGUUUAAAUUAGUUAUAAAUGGUUAUAUUGCAUGCAUAUUUAUACUACCUUGUGUUUAUUAUGAGGUAUUAAUGCCCAAAAUUGGUUAAAUAUCGGCAAUAUACCGACCGAAAAGCACUCCCGCGACAGCAGAGAAUCACCGAAAAGCACUCAAGUUCUCUAUAUAUACAUGCAAGUUAACUAUAAGGGCCGAUUUUAAUGGAUUGAAAAGAUGUACAUAUUUAUUUAGUCAAUAAUGACUUCAUUAAAUAAAAAGUUUAAAUAUAAAGCUCAUUACUAUUUUUGGUGGCCACCGAAAAGCA
Dreissena polymorpha is the source of this 821-nucleotide long non-coding RNA. RefSeq lists it as uncharacterized. The transcript has 3 exons. NCBI's taxonomy places the organism in Eukaryota, Metazoa, Mollusca, Bivalvia, Myida, Dreissenidae. The record is from RefSeq and is a predicted model, not a curated record.